CUGAUACAUAUAUACUUUGUAAAUUCAUUGUGCCACACUGACACUGUUAAUCACAACAAAUCACCAUGGAUGAUGUAUACUCAGCCAGUUCCCUGGCGACUUUCAUUCCUUUAUUCAAUUUAUUUAGUUCUGAAUUUACUGUCAUGGAAUGUACUGUUACUUCACAUGAGCAAAUUAGGUUUACAUUACCAUGAAUUAAUCAACAAGGACAGCAUGUCUGAACUCUGGAGAAACUAGCUGACAAGCACAGCUCAACUGGGCACCUGUCUUCUUCUCCCUACCACAAUGAUUAACCUAGCUAGGUUCUUAACAACUCCAGUGGGCUUCACCUUUUCAAUAUUCUCAUCUUGCCAAGAACAUAUUCCAACAUGGAAGAGGGCAUAUUAUACAGAUUCUGAUGAGAUGAACUUUUCGAAAUGCGUAAAAAUUCCUUGCUGGCUACAACACAACACAUAGCUUGAAUUGGACGCCAUUGAAUAAUCUUAGCUUAACAGCUUCAUCUGAACAACAAGUUUAGCUAGGACCAUUCGGGCAGAUAGAGAUAAUUGUGUCGAUCAAUCAUGCCAUUGGCUCAAUCUACCAACCCCCAAUCUGGGAAGGAGAAAAAAUAUCAGUUUUCAGAGAAGAGAUUGAUCCAUCCGGGAAACGCCAAGCGCCAUACGUUGUGAUCUUGGAUGGAUAAGAGGGGAUGAUGCCAAUGAAAACUCAGGCCACAAUUAUUCAGACAACAAAUGGUAGAAACAAUCUUGCAUGCCUUGUUUAAAUUAUGCAGGGCAUGCAUGCCCAGAUCUUUGUAUGAGUGGUUCUGUGAAUGCAGUCAGGUUUCUCAUCGUUUUCAUAUGGAUGGAUGGAUGGUAGCUUUCUGAAUGCCUGCAUUUGCAUUUGCAUGCAUGCACUCUGCCAUUGGUCCCCUUAUCUCCUUCGGGCCAUUGCAGGACACUCACAGGUUCUCUCCUAUUGGAAUGAGUCCAGGCAUUGCUGCUAGCUACUCCCUCUGUCUCAUGUUUGAUUUUUUUUUUCUUAUAAUGUUUGAUCAUUUG
RNAcentral lists this long non-coding RNA (1040 nucleotides) under Oryza brachyantha (malo sina). Its description in RNAcentral is "long non-coding RNA (OBRA_LNC003454)". The record is from RNAcentral. Lineage: Eukaryota; Viridiplantae; Streptophyta; Magnoliopsida; Poales; Poaceae.